This 483-nucleotide ribosomal RNA is filed under the name uncultured bacterium. Its description in RNAcentral is "partial 16S ribosomal RNA". It matches the Rfam family "Bacterial small subunit ribosomal RNA", at positions 28 to 523 of the family's 1533-position model. The record is from RNAcentral.
AAUGAACGUUGGCGGCGUGGAUUAGGCUUGCAAGUCGUGCGGAAAGGCUCCUUCGGGAGUACUCGAGCGGCGAAAGGGAGAGUAACGCGUGGGUAUCUACCCCCUGGCCUGGGAUAGCGGCGGGAAACUGCAGGUAAUUCCAGCUAAUACCUGCGGAUCCAAGGUGUGACUCCGCCGGGGGAUGAGUUCGCGGCCUAUGAGCUAGUUGGUGAGGUAACGGCCCACCAAGGCUGAGAUGGGUGCCGGGUGUGAGAGCAUGGCCCGGCUCACUGGGACUGAGACACUGCCCAGCCACCUACGGGUGGCUGCAGUCGAGAAUCUUCGGCAAUAGGCGCAAGCCUGACCGAGCGACGCCGCGUGCGGGAUGAAGGCCUUCGGGUUGUAAACCGCUGUCAGAGGGGAGGAAAUGCAUGGGGGUUCUCCCUCAUGUUUGACCUAUCCUCAGAGGAAGUACGGGCUAAGUUCGUGCCAGCCGCGCCGUAA